This 1450-nucleotide ribosomal RNA is filed under the name Salmonella enterica. RNAcentral describes it as "partial 23S ribosomal RNA". It matches the Rfam family "Bacterial large subunit ribosomal RNA", at positions 711 to 2141 of the family's 2925-position model. Lineage: Bacteria; Pseudomonadati; Pseudomonadota; Gammaproteobacteria; Enterobacterales; Enterobacteriaceae. The record is from RNAcentral. RNAcentral also lists the same sequence under 2 other names.
AGACCCGAAACCCGGUGAUCUAGCCAUGGGCAGGUUGAAGGUUGGGUAACACUAACUGGAGGACCGAACCGACUAAUGUUGAAAAAUUAGCGGAUGACCUGUGGCUGGGGGUGAAAGGCCAAUCAAACCGGGAGAUAGCUGGUUCUCCCCGAAAGCUAUUUAGGUAGCGCCUCGUGAAUUCAUCUCCGGGGGUAGAGCACUGUUUCGGCUAGGGGGCCAUCCCGGCUUACCAACCCGAUGCAAACUGCGAAUACCGGAGAAUGUUAUCACGGGAGACACACGGCGGGUGCUAACGUCCGUCGUGAAGAGGGAAACAACCCAGACCGCCAGCUAAGGUCCCAAAGUCAUGGUUAAGUGGGAAACGAUGUGGGAAGGCCCAGACAGCCAGGAUGUUGGCUUAGAAGCAGCCAUCAUUUAAAGAAAGCGUAAUAGCUCACUGGUCGAGUCGGCCUGCGCGGAAGAUGUAACGGGGCUAAACCAUGCACCGAAGCUGCGGCAGCGACACUCAGGUGUUGUUGGGUAGGGGAGCGUUCUGUAAGCCUGUGAAGGUGUGUCGUGAGGCAUGCUGGAGGUAUCAGAAGUGCGAAUGCUGACAUAAGUAACGAUAAAGCGGGUGAAAAGCCCGCUCGCCGGAAGACCAAGGGUUCCUGUCCAACGUUAAUCGGGGCAGGGUGAGUCGACCCCUAAGGCGAGGCCGAAAGGCGUAGUCGAUGGGAAACGGGUUAAUAUUCCCGUACUUGGUGUUACUGCGAAGGGGGGACGGAGAAGGCUAUGUUGGCCGGGCGACGGUUGUCCCGGUUUAAGCGUGUAGGUGUGUGUUCCAGGUAAAUCCGGUUCACUUUAACACUGAGGCGUGACGACGAGGCACUACGGUGCUGAAGCAACAAAUGCCCUGCUUCCAGGAAAAGCCUCUAAGCAUCAGGUAACAUCAAAUCGUACCCCAAACCGACACAGGUGGUCAGGUAGAGAAUACCAAGGCGCUUGAGAGAACUCGGGUGAAGGAACUAGGCAAAAUGGUGCCGUAACUUCGGGAGAAGGCACGCUGACACGUAGGUGAAGUGAUUUACUCAUGGAGCUGAAGUCAGUCGAAGAUACCAGCUGGCUGCAACUGUUUAUUAAAAACACAGCACUGUGCAAACACGAAAGUGGACGUAUACGGUGUGACGCCUGCCCGGUGCCGGAAGGUUAAUUGAUGGGGUCAGCGCAAGCGAAGCUCCUGAUCGAAGCCCCGGUAAACGGCGGCCGUAACUAUAACGGUCCUAAGGUAGCGAAAUUCCUUGUCGGGUAAGUUCCGACCUGCACGAAUGGCGUAAUGAUGGCCAGGCUGUCUCCACCCGAGACUCAGUGAAAUUGAACUCGCUGUGAAGAUGCAGUGUACCCGCGGCAAGACGGAAAGACCCCGUGAACCUUUACUAUAGCUUGACACUGAACAUUGAGCCUUGAUGUGUAG